RNAcentral lists this unclassified non-coding RNA (3576 nucleotides) under Leishmania donovani. Its description in RNAcentral is "gene:LdHU3.35.1020(CDS-product:aspartate_aminotra nsferase_putative)". Lineage: Eukaryota; Euglenozoa; Kinetoplastea; Trypanosomatida; Trypanosomatidae. The record is from RNAcentral.
CCUUCUACUACUCCCUCCCCUACAGCCACGCUAUUCCACUCCACCCCACCCCACCCCCCGAAACAAGUCUAACACACCUCGCACCCCCCUCUAAGCUUCUCUCUUCCUCCAUCCACCAAGCAAAGAUGUCCACGCAGGCGGCCAUGACCACGACGGAGCGCUGGCAGAAGAUUCAGGGACAAGCUCCCGAUGUCAUCUUCGAUCUCGCAAAACGCGCCGCCGCUGCCAAGGGCCCCAAGGCCAACCUCGUCAUUGGUGCCUACCGCGACGAGCAGGGCCGUCCCUACCCGCUACGCGUGGUCCGCAAGGCUGAACGGCUUCUUUUGGACAUGAAUCUCGACUACGAGUACCUACCCAUCUCGGGCUACCAGCCCUUCAUCGAUGAGGCGGUAAAGAUGAUCUACGGCGAUACCGUCGCGCUGGAGAACCUGGUUGCGGUGCAGACGCUGAGCGGGACCGGUGCUGUCUCUCUCGGCGCAAAGCUGCUGACUCGCGUCUUCGACGCUGAGAAGACGCCCAUCUACCUUUCCGACCCCACGUGGCCCAACCACUACGGCAUCGUGAAGGCUGCUGGCUGGAAGAACAUCUGCACCUACGCCUACUACGACCCCAAGACGGUCAGCCUGGAUUUCGAGGGCAUGAAGAAAGACAUUCUAGCGGCGCCGGACGGCUCCGUGUUCAUUCUGCACCAGUGCGCGCACAACCCCACCGGCGUGGACCCGUCGCAGGAGCAGUGGGACGAGAUCGCGUCACUGAUGCUGGCCAAGCGCCAUCAGGUGUUCUUCGACUCCGCCUACCAGGGCUACGCGAGCGGCAGCCUCGACACGGACGCGUAUGCUGCCCGCCUGUUUGCCCGCCGCGGCAUCGAGGUACUGCUGGCGCAGUCCUUCUCCAAGAACAUGGGCUUGUACAGCGAGCGUGCAGGCACGCUGUCGCUGCUCCUCAAGGACAAGACGAAGCGCGCGGAUGUGAAGAGCGUGAUGGAUUCGCUGAUCCGUGAGGAGUACACGUGCCCCCCGGCCCACGGUGCCCGCUUAGCCCACCUCAUCCUGAGCAACAACGAGCUGCGAAAGGAGUGGGAGGCAGAGCUAUCGGCCAUGGCGGAGCGCAUCCGUACGAUGCGCCGCACCGUGUACGACGAGCUGCUGCGCCUGCAGACGCCCGGGAGCUGGGAGCACGUCAUCAACCAGAUUGGCAUGUUCUCCUUCCUCGGGCUGUCGAAGGCGCAGUGCGAAUACUGCCAAAAUCACAACAUCUUCAUCACGUUGUCGGGUCGCGCUAACAUGGCAGGUCUGACGCAUGAGACGGCGCUGAUGCUGGCACAGACGAUCAACGAUGCUGUGCGCAAUGUGGAUCGCGAGUGAUGGGGUUACGGACGGCGCUCGCGCUCGGCAUCGUGUGCCGAACACGGAAGCGAAACGCCUCGUAGCAUACUAAUGGUAAAAGAAGGUUUUAGAAGGCAAUGGACGCAUGGAAAGAUAGAACUAGAAGGCGCGAGGAUAGGUGGACGCCGCAUGUACCAAAGAGCCACCGCAGCGUCAGCAGUCUUGCCUAUCAUGCCCCGAAGCUUCUGUCUCUCUCUCUCUCUCUCUUGCAUGUAUGUAUAUAUGUUUCGUAAUACCUCUUCUCAUACGUUUUUUGCGUUGCUUCUUUUCGCUUUCUCAUCUUCCUUUCUGUUUGUGUGUAGGUAUGUCUGUUCGGUUUUGUUGUUGCCUUCCAGACGCUGCGGCUGAUGCGUGUGGCGCUGUUUCGUUGAGGCGGGAGGGAAUUGUAUGUAAGCAAUCAAUGAGGACGCAGUGUAGAGGAAAGGUUCGGCGCCGCCCUCCAUCCACCCAUCCCCUAUCUCACACCGCAGCGUGUACAGUAGGCACUCGCGCAUAAAGCGCGCUUUCCUUCUCUGACCAUGUCUCUCUCUCUCUCCUCCUCCUCCUCCUCCUCCUCCUCCUCUCCCCUCUCUGGCCUAAUUGUACUUGUCGACGUUUUUUUGAUGCAUUCUGCGGUGAUGUUGACAGUUGUAUACGUUCAUGUGUGUAGGUCUCUCCAGAUAGGGAUGAGCGGCUUGUGCUUGUUCUGUUUGUUCACGUGCGUGUAAGCCCUUAUAUCCCCCCCCUCACUCUCUCUCCAUUUUUCCCUCCUUCCCUCUCUCUGCCUCUCCCUCCCCACAUUGUUUUCUCUGUUCGCUUGAAAAUAAAAGAAGUUAAAGAAGCGCUAAGAAUCUUUCCAUGUCCUCUUCUCUUCCCGUUUCGGUUGUCGUCGUUGUUGCCUCUCUCUCUUUAAGCUCGUUUCAUGUGUGGUAGUCCGCCGCUACUGCCCCACCUCAUCCACACCCACUGCUACCAUCCUCAGUCGCUGUAUAUCUAACAAUACGAAAAGUGUGUAAAGAGAAAAAAACGCGGGAGAGUAGCACAGAGGGAACGUGUGUGCCCGUGCCAGCGUCUGCAUCAUCUGCGUGUAGAGGAGGCGCAUGGUUCUCCUUCUGUAGCAGAAUGUUACUGACGAUGAAGGGAGAACGCUCAGUAAGCACAGGCGGCACACACACACACACACACAGGAGAGCACAGAGAUGAAGUGAUUAUUUUUGUAGUAGCAGUGGCGUUGUGCGUGCUCCUGAGCGCCGUCAUCUCGACUCUUUUUUUUCUCCGAUGGGUACUGUUGUUUUCCGUUCGUUUUUUCGUCUCGGUUUUGCUCAAUUCGCGAGUGCAUCUAUCUUCGUCUCAUCGCAGUUCGGAAGGGGGAGGGCGUUGUCGGCAGCGAGGACAAAACAGUGCGGGCCAAAAGUGUAGAUGCGCCCCUCGGCGAGACGGGCCGACGCUCUUCAUGACGCCACGUAAAGAGAGGGUGUGACAUGGCUGAGUGAGCAUCGGGUGAAAGCGCGAAGGAUUGGGGGAAGGGGGUGAAAGAGAGCGUGCGCAGGAAGAACGCAGUGGCGGGGAGAAGAGAUGAGGCGCAACCGUAGAUGAAUUUCGCAACGGCGGUCAGUUGUUCACGUUCCUCCCUCCUUCCCUCAACUCCCUGUGUGUCACACACUUCUUCACAUAACCCUCUCAGAUGUUCUCCUCUCCAUGGCCAACGCGUUUUCUUUCCUUCUUUUUUUUUUGUGGCUUGGCCAUCUCCAGUAAAUUCCUGUAUUUUUGUGCGUCACCAAUUCCCGGACGAUGCCGACCACCUCAGUGCGUGAUAGCAGGACCUAGUUACACACUCUGUUGGGAAGCCAAGAGCCUGCACAGCCUGCCCACGGGUAACAGCUGCAGGCUCUUGGUGCCGGCAGGACAGGCCUGGGCGGGCGCCGCGCGGAAGAGGCUUGUGAUCAUGGCCACGUUUGGACCAGCUCACUACGGAUCGUGUCGGCGACUCAGAAAAUUUAUGUCUCCACUCCCUGUUUUUUUUUGCUUGUGCUGCGCUGCGAAGAUGUUGAGCGCAAUCGUGGGCACAGCCCGCGCUGUAUGCAGUAAAACUGCAGUUGGCCGUACGACGCCAAACGGUGUUGGGCGGCCCGGCUCCUUGGCACAGCCGUAGCGCACCAGAGGUAGGUGAGCUGUGAUUGCAUGCGUAUAUCUUUUCACUUGCUCAUGAUAG